This 301-nucleotide ribosomal RNA is filed under the name uncultured bacterium. Its description in RNAcentral is "partial 16S ribosomal RNA". It matches the Rfam family "Bacterial small subunit ribosomal RNA", at positions 509 to 807 of the family's 1533-position model. The record is from RNAcentral.
CAGUCGCCGCGGUAACACGAAGGGGGCUAGCGUUGCUCGGAAUGACUGGGCGUAAAGGGCGCGUAGGCGGCAUAUACAGUCAGGCGUGAAAUUCCCGGGCUUAACCUGGGGGCUGCGUUUGAUACGUAUGGGCUAGAGUGGGGAAGAGGGUCGUGGAAUUCCCAGUGUAGAGGUGAAAUUCGUAGAUAUUGGGAAGAACACCGGUGGCGAAGGCGGCGACCUGGUCCUUGACUGACGCUGAGGCGCGAAAGCGUGGGGAGCAAACAGGAUUAGAUACCCGCGUAGUCCCUGUCUCUUAUAC